GUGCUGUGCAUUAAAAAACUCUGCCUCAGAAGUACACCCCUCCCACCUCCCUGCCAGAAAAGCGUUGGCUGCAGACAGCGGCCUCCUGGAUAGUGUACACAGCCUCUUCCUUGUAUAGGUUGAUCUAAGGGACCUAGGAGACAAAG
Molecule: small nucleolar RNA, 146 nt
Filed under: Peromyscus maniculatus bairdii (prairie deer mouse)
Lineage: Eukaryota; Metazoa; Chordata; Mammalia; Rodentia; Cricetidae
Description: Small nucleolar RNA SNORA70 (ENSPEMG00000004429.2)
Rfam family: Small nucleolar RNA SNORA70
About the family: snoRNA U70 seems to be exclusive to mammals and is a member of the H/ACA class of snoRNA which contain H (ANANNA) and ACA box motifs. H/ACA box snoRNAs are involved in the conversion of uridines to pseudouridines (5-ribosyluracil) a constituent of structural RNAs (transfer, ribosomal, small nuclear, and small nucleolar).
Source: Rfam by way of RNAcentral